UACGGAGGGGGCGAGCGUUGUCCGAAGUUACUGGGCGUAAAGCGCGCGUAGGCGGGUUGGCAAGUCCGCUGUGAAAGCCCGGUGCUUAACGCCGGAGGGUCGGUGGAUACUGCCAGUCUUGAAGGUGCUAGGGGAAGAUGGAAUUACCGGUGUAGCGGUGAAAUGCGUAGAUAUCGGGAGGAACACCAAUGGCGAAGGCAGCUCGCUGGGACGGUACUGACGCUGAGACGCGAAAGCGUGGGGAGCAAACAGG
RNAcentral lists this ribosomal RNA (253 nucleotides) under uncultured bacterium. RNAcentral's name for it is "partial 16S ribosomal RNA". It matches the Rfam family "Bacterial small subunit ribosomal RNA", at positions 524 to 776 of the family's 1533-position model. The record is from RNAcentral.